ACUCAAAUGAAUAGACGGGGGCCCGCACAAGCGGUGGAACAUGUGGUUCAAUUCGACGCAACGCGAAGAACCUUACCUGGGCUUGAACCGCACAGGACCAGCUUGAGAAAUCAGGCCUUCCCGCAAGGGACCUGUGUAGAGGUGCUGCAUGGCUGUCGUCAGCUCGUGCCGUGAGGUGUUGGGUUAAGUCCCGCAACGAGCGCAACCCUUACUCGUAGUUGCCACCCGCAAGGGGGAACUCUACGAGGACUGCUCCGGAUAACGGAGAGGAAGGUGGGGAUGAGGUCAAGUCAGCAUGGCCUUUAUGUCCAGGGCUACACACGUGUUACAAUGCGCGCCACAAAGCGUCGCGAACCCGCGAGGGGGAGCUAAUCGCAAAAAAGCGCGCUCAGUUCGGAUUGCAGUCUGCAACUCGACUGCAUGAAGCUGGAAUCGCUAGUAAUGGCGUAUCAGAUCGGCGCCGUGAAUACGUUCCCGGGCCUUGUACACACCGCCCGU
Molecule: ribosomal RNA, 498 nt
Filed under: uncultured bacterium
Lineage: Bacteria
Description: partial 16S ribosomal RNA
Rfam family: Bacterial small subunit ribosomal RNA
Source: RNAcentral